UACGUAGGGUGCAAGCGUUAAUCGGAAUUACUGGGCGUAAAGCGUGCGCAGGCGGUUUUGUAAGUUUGUCGUGAAAUCCCCGGGCUCAACCUGGGAAUUGCGAUGAAGACUGCAAGGCUAGAAUCUGGCAGAGGGGGGUAGAAUUCCACGUGUAGCAGUGAAAUGCGUAGAGAUGUGGAGGAACACCGAUGGCGAAGGCAGCCCCCUGGGUCAAGAUUGACGCUCAUGCACGAAAGGCGUGGGG
This 244-nucleotide ribosomal RNA is filed under the name uncultured bacterium. Its description in RNAcentral is "partial 16S ribosomal RNA". It matches the Rfam family "Bacterial small subunit ribosomal RNA", at positions 524 to 766 of the family's 1533-position model. The record is from RNAcentral.